GUGCCUUUUUCAGCAGCACACAUACUAAAAUUGGAAUGACACAGAGAGGUUUAGCAUGGUCCAUGUGCAAGAAUAAUGGACAUAUUUCAUAAUAAGGCAGGCACCAUA
This 108-nucleotide small nuclear RNA is filed under the name Octodon degus (degu). Lineage: Eukaryota; Metazoa; Chordata; Mammalia; Rodentia; Octodontidae. The record is from RNAcentral.